Molecule: long non-coding RNA, 1693 nt
Organism: Anolis carolinensis (green anole)
Lineage: Eukaryota; Metazoa; Chordata; Lepidosauria; Squamata; Anolidae
Source: Ensembl
AUGUACCAAUCAAUUCAGCGAGGGGGAUUAAAUACUGGUGAUAAAAAUGAUCAAGUGCCAGGAUAUAGAAAGCACAGCCCUCCCUGGUGCUAUUUCACCAGCCUCUGUGGCUUCAUCGCAACGACACUUCUCUCAUCACACAAGAGCCAGUCCAAGGCUGUUGCUGUUCAAGGGACAGAGAGGAUGGCACCCCUUCCUAUUCCAUAUGUCAAUGUCAACUGGACUUGGAGUGGAACCUUUCUUCAACAAUGGCAGAACAUCUUCCAUCAUACCUCAAAGGAUGCAAGCUCAUUUAGGUGGUGAAGGAUAAGCUUCAUGAUACAGAGCUCCCUCCGUGUAGCGCCAACUGUUUGAAGCAACUGUCCUACUUUAUCUAAUAUAGGACAAGCAGUUUAUGUAUGGAAGACAUGUAGGAACUUGAGUAAACCAUUAGACUGCAAAAUGUAUGCUGUGAGCUUAUGAAGUUUUCUUUUGGAUCUGAACUGUAUGGGAAGAUUUUGGAAGGAAGGAAGGUAGGCAGAAAAAUGUGGGGCUGGAAAGAGAGAAGGGAAGAUACAUUUGUUUUUGCUUUUGUAGUUUGCUUUUGCCACAGUCUGUGGGAAAGGAGUUAUUAAAUUAAAUCCCUAUUCUUUUCACAGCACAGAAUUGUUACAUGGAUUCCCUUCCACUUUUGUGUUCUCUUCUUGGGUUUCUUUUUGGGUUUCUUUUUUUUCUUUAAAUGAUUGCAUUAUACUCUCUAAUUUUUUACAGUUCACAUUUAUUAAAUUCCAAUUCAGGUGUUCUCUUGUUAUCAGAGGAGCACCACUUGAAGCCUAGAGCUAAUGUUCACUGUUCAGGAUCUAGCCAGAUCAUAUUUUUCUAGUUCAAAAUGUGCUUUUGAAGUUGGCAAGUAGAAAGCACCACAGAAAUCUCUCCAUGAAUCCUCUCCAUUCUGCAUUCUCAUGGAGGCAAUGCUGUUUCAUCACCCCCAAGCUUGUAUAUUAUCUGACACAACAGAGUGAAUACUCGCAUUGACCCAAAACAAACAACAGCUGUGCUUGCUUUUACUUUCUGAUCAGAGUCAUUUGUUUGGGGGGUUUGUCAGAGAAUUCCUUGAGAAAGUAAUGUUUGGGUUGCCCUCUACUGGUGAGGAGAUCUCAUUGGGAACUUGGCUGUCAGUGUGAAAGAAAGAAAAUGAAAAGGUGCGGUAAUUUGUCUGUCUAGAUAUCAUACUUAUUUGAAAAAAGGUGUCAGGCAUGUUUAUGUCUGUAUUCAUAUCCAUUAAUACAUGUUAGCUGCAUUCAUCAUGAAUGGAUAAUUUAGCUGUCUCCUGCCUUCAUUUUGUUAAAUGAUGCAUUCACUUUUGAAUUUGUGCAAGUUCUCAUUUUUAGAAAUCAAAUGAAAUUUUCAGCUACUACUCAGAUUCAGCAGGUCCAUCUGUUCCUAGGGCAGAAAGGAAUGUGCGGUAUGACUUUCUGUGGAACCGCUAAAGAUAAAGAGUGUAUCUACACUGUAGAUGGAAUGCAGUUUGUCACUACUUUAACUGGCAUGGCUCAGUGCUGUGGGAGUUGUAGUUUUACAAGGUCUUGAGCCUUCUCUGCCAAAGAGUGCUGGUGCCUCACCAAACUACAAAUCCCAUGAUUCCAUAGCAUUGAAUCAUGACAACUAAAAUGGUGACAAACUGCAUUCAUUCUACAGUGAAGAUGUGUACCAA